Long non-coding RNA from Episyrphus balteatus (marmalade hoverfly), 799 nucleotides. RefSeq lists it as uncharacterized. The transcript is spliced from 4 exons. Lineage: Eukaryota; Metazoa; Arthropoda; Insecta; Diptera; Syrphidae. The record is from RefSeq and is a predicted model, not a curated record.
AACUUUUUAGGAGUAUCUUAUAGUGGGAUUAUAGGUGUGAUGAGAAAAUUAUCUAUAAGCACACUAUAACGAUGUCGAGAAGCAUUUAAUCCUAUAGGAAUCCACGACAGAGGUGUACAAAAUGUAGCAUCUGGAAUUGUUUAUAGAAGGCAUGAUACUCAGCUUCUCGAUUGUUCUAUAAAGGACGCCAAAGAACGGGUUGUAACUUUACCUUUUCAAGUACAAUAUUGAAAUAGCUACAUUUUGAUUCAUGAAAACAAAUUAAAAAAAUAAAUACUUUCAUAAAAAUAUACAUGUAAAAGUCUACGUGUUUUUAAUAAUCGCUACAUGUUUUUCAAUUGACUGCGAACAUCGAGCAUUUUUAGUGGGUUUGUUCUUUUGCAUGACCGCAAUCUCUGGAUUCUUCUGUCCCGAUUGUUCUACUCCCAAGAGAGCUUUAACAGCACCAUUUUCCUCAGCUACUUAAUGCGUUGUUUGUACUUGAGGAAAUCUUGAACUGUUUUUGCCGAGCGACCAGUUGCAUUGGUUUUCAAUUCGUAAUAAAUACCAGACGGUUCUGUCUGAUACAGAUGUGGGGUUCCGUCGGAGUCAAAACCCAUAAUCUGGGCAGGUACUUAUCAACAUUCAACAAAAUGUCCAACAACAUGCACGACAUUCGGCGAACAAGAAAAUCUUCCAAAAUUUACUCAACAAGUUACAACACGUUUGAAAUAUCUUGGCAACUUAAGCAUUAAAAGCAAAAAAAAAACGUAAAAUCAAAGGAAUGCAAGAGAGAAAUUCCAUAUGCCGAACACCUCCA